RNAcentral lists this ribosomal RNA (499 nucleotides) under uncultured Glomeromycotina. Its description in RNAcentral is "partial small subunit ribosomal RNA". It matches the Rfam family "Eukaryotic small subunit ribosomal RNA", at positions 591 to 1092 of the family's 1831-position model. Lineage: Eukaryota; Fungi; Glomeromycota. The record is from RNAcentral.
CCAAUAGCGUAUAUUAAAGUUGUUGCAGUUAAAAAGCUCGUAGUUGAAUUUCGGGACCAAUUUGUUGGUCGUGCCUCGGUACGUACUGGUAUUAUUGGUUUCUCCCUUCUGAAGAACCUCGAUGCCAUUAAUUUGGUGUCGUGGGGAAUCAGGACUGUUACUUUGAAAAAAUUAGAGUGUUUAAAGCAAGCAUACGCUUGAAUACAUUAGCAUGGAAUAAUGAAGUAGGACGUUUGAUUCUAUUUUGUUGGUUUCUAGGAUCGACGUAAUGAUUAAUAGGGAUAGUUGGGGGCAUUAGUAUUCAAUUGUCAGAGGUGAAAUUCUUGGAUUUAUUGAAGACUAACUACUGCGAAAGCAUUUGCCAAGGAUGUUUUCAUUAAUCAAGAACGAAAGUUAGGGGAUCGAAGACGAUCAGAUACCGUCGUAGUCUUAACCAUAAACUAUGCCGACUAGGGAUCGGAUGAUGUUAAUUUUUUAAUGACUCAUUCGGCGCCUUACG